UUAAAGGUUUCUGCCUGCCCGGUGACUUAAAGUUUAACGGCUGCAGUAUUACUGACUGUGCAAAGGUAGCAUAAUCAUUUGCCUAUUAAUUGUAGGCUAGUAUCAACGGCUAGACGAUAGAAGCUCUGUCUCUCUUUAUAGUAAUUUGAAAUUGACUUUGUGGUGAAGAGGCCAUAAUUUAUUAGUGGGACGAGAAGACCCUAUAGAGCUUUACUUUGAAAGUAAUUAUUAAGAUUUAUUACUAAAAAGUUUAGUUGGGGCAACUUUCUUUUAUGUAAAACAAAGAAUAAAUAAUAAAGAAUCUAAUCUUGAUGAUCUAAAAAAUUUUGAUUAAAGGAAAAAGUUACCUUAGGGAUAACAGCGUAAUUCUUCUUGAGAGUACUUAUUGACAGAAGAGCUUGCGACCUCGAUGUUGGAUCAGAAUACCCUAAAUGUGCAGCAGCCUUUAAAGGGGAGGUUUG
RNAcentral lists this ribosomal RNA (461 nucleotides) under Amphipholis squamata. RNAcentral's name for it is "partial 16S ribosomal RNA". It matches the Rfam family "Bacterial large subunit ribosomal RNA", at positions 1845 to 2580 of the family's 2925-position model. Lineage: Eukaryota; Metazoa; Echinodermata; Ophiuroidea; Amphilepidida; Amphiuridae. The record is from RNAcentral.